This 408-nucleotide ribosomal RNA is filed under the name uncultured bacterium. RNAcentral describes it as "bacterial SSU rRNA". It matches the Rfam family "Bacterial small subunit ribosomal RNA", at positions 350 to 751 of the family's 1533-position model. The record is from RNAcentral.
AGCAGUGGGGAAUAUUGGACAAUGGGCGAAAGCCUGAUCCAGCCAUGCCGCGUGUGUGAAGAAGGUCUUUGGAUUGUAAAGCACUUUAAGUUGGGAGGAAGGGCAGUCAGCGAAUACCUUGCUGUCUUGACGUUACCGACAGAAUAAGCACCGGCUAACUCUGUGCCGGCAGCCGCGGUAAUACAGAGGGUGCAAGCGUUAAUCGGAAUUACUGGGCGUAAAGCGCGCGUAGGUGGUUUGUUAAGUUGAAUGUGAAAUCCCGGGCUCAACCUGGGAACUGCAUCCAAAACUGGCAAGCUAGAGUAGGGCAGAGGGUGGUGGAAUUUCCUGUGUAGCGGUGAAAUGCGUAGAUAUAGGAAGGAACACCAGUGGCGAAAGCGACCACCUGGGCUCAUACUGACACUGAGG